GAUUUCUGACUUGGCGCACCUGGCCCGCCACGGUUACGUGUGUGAGUGCCGGGAUGCGCCUGUCACUUUUCUGGUAAACUAUUAUGCUCUUCAUUGGGUGUGAUAGGUAGCCAGAUAUUUUACUUUGAAAAAAUUAGAGUGUUUAAAGCAGGCGUUUGCUAUGAAUACAUUAGCAUGGAAUAAUAAGUUAGGACUUCGGUUCUAUUUUGUUGGUUUCUAGGACUGAAGUAAUGAUUGAUAGGGAUAGUUGGGGGUGCUAGUAUUCAGCGGCCAGAGGUGAAAUUCUCGGAUUCGCUGAAGACUAACUUAUGCGAAAGCAUU
This 321-nucleotide ribosomal RNA is filed under the name uncultured Rhogostoma. Its description in RNAcentral is "SSU rRNA". The stretch from base 57 to 321 matches the Rfam family "Eukaryotic small subunit ribosomal RNA", at positions 689 to 955 of the family's 1831-position model. Lineage: Eukaryota; Cercozoa; Thecofilosea; Cryomonadida. The record is from RNAcentral.